CCUACGGGGGGCAGCAGUGGGGAAUAUUGCACAAUGGGGGAAACCCUGAUGCAGCGACGCCGCGUGAGGGAUGACGGCCUUCGGGUUGUAAACCUCUUUCAGUAGGGAAGCGGUACCUGCAGAAGAAGCGCCGGCUAACUACGUGCCAGCAGCCGCGGUAAUACGUAGGGCGCAAGCGUUGUCCGGAAUUAUUGGGCGUAAAGAGCUUGUAGGCGGUUUGUCGCGUCUGGUGUGAAAACCCACGGCUCAACGGUGGGCUUGCAUCGGGUACGGGCAGGCUAGAGUGUGGUAGGGGAAACUGGAAUUCCUGGUGUAGCGGUGAAAUGCGCAGAUAUCAGGAGGAACACCGAUGGCGAAGGCAGGUUUCUGGGCAUACUGACGCUGAGAAGCGAAAGCAUGGGGAGCGAACAGGAUUAGAUACCCGAGUAGUC
RNAcentral lists this ribosomal RNA (431 nucleotides) under uncultured bacterium. RNAcentral's name for it is "partial 16S ribosomal RNA". It matches the Rfam family "Bacterial small subunit ribosomal RNA", at positions 338 to 795 of the family's 1533-position model. The record is from RNAcentral.